Molecule: ribosomal RNA, 430 nt
Filed under: uncultured bacterium
Lineage: Bacteria
Description: partial 16S ribosomal RNA
Rfam family: Bacterial small subunit ribosomal RNA
Source: RNAcentral
AACGAACGCUGGCGGCAGGCUUAACACAUGCAAGUCGAACGCCCCGCAAGGGGAGUGGCAGACGGGUGAGUAACGCGUGGGAACAUACCCUUUUCUACGGAAUAGCUCUGGGAAACUGGAAUUAAUACCGUAUACGCCCUACGGGGGAAAGAUUUAUCGGGGAAGGAUUGGCCCGCGUUGGAUUAGCUAGUUGGUGGGGUAAAGGCCUACCAAGGCGACGAUCCAUAGCUGGUCUGAGAGGAUGAUCAGCCACAUUGGGACUGAGACACGGCCCAAACUCCUACGGAAGGCAGGAGUGGGGAAAAUGAGACAAAGGGAGGAAACCUGGUCCUGCCAUCGCACGGAAGGUAAAGAGGCUUGAGGGUUGAAAACCUUUUUAACCGUGGAAGAAAAGGACGGGAGUCGGAGAAGAAGCCCCGGCUAAUUUCGU